This is a long non-coding RNA of Bufo gargarizans (Asiatic toad), 191 nucleotides long. RefSeq lists it as uncharacterized. The transcript is spliced from 3 exons. NCBI's taxonomy places the organism in Eukaryota, Metazoa, Chordata, Amphibia, Anura, Bufonidae. The record is from RefSeq and is a predicted model, not a curated record.
CCUCCAGCCUGCAGGCAUCAUGAAGAAAACCAUCAAUACGAGCCUUCUCCUGAAUGAGCCACCAAGGAUGGACAGGAAGGAGAUCAGCAGAAGAAUAUUAGACCUCACCUUGGAGAUCAUCUCCCUGCUGAGCGGAGAGGAGUACACAAUAGUGAAGAAGACAUCGGGGGACUGUGUGACUCCCAUCAUCC